UAAUCGCUGUUUUCUUCUCAUACUCGGAAGAGGUAGGUCGCGCGCCACUUCGAUUAACUUGAUGAGGAUAAAUUGGCUAAUGCUGAGCGUUAUUUGAAAAGAUGCUUAUUUAUGACUCAGAUCAUGCAGAUUCUCAAGUUUUCGAUCUACGGUAUGAAGCGAUGCAGCCAACUACCUUCCAUUCCGAAAGGAUUGAUUAACUUUUUAAGGAAGUGGUACGAUUUAGUGGACGUUUAUGAACAGGCUUUAAAGAGGACAUGUCAAAGCUGACUUCUGUAAUAUAACUGGGGGGAAAAGUUAAUUGUUGAUAGUAACAGUAUCAAUGCCAGUUUUAGUGGAAUAUGAACAUCUGUGCCUUUUCCCAUUUCGGUAACUGUCGUAGAAAUCAUUCUCAAAACUGAAACUUAUAAAGAGCUAUUUGAAGAGCAUGAUGGAACGGUAGCGAUUUUCUGAACUAGGAUUCUGUUCGUGGAGAAUGACCCUGCAAGGACGUUCUCAAGAAGAUUACUACUGUACUUUGAAGAGAGCGGGGCAAGAAACAGAGGAUAUGUCUGAAAUGAUUGAGUAGACUGCAUAUUUACUGUUUUAUUCAUGGUGCAUCUUGUUGACAGGUAUGGCAGAUUUACCUUGUUGAGCCACUGCACAAGAAAGAGAAUUUGGUUGAUCAGCAUCAUCAGGCAUUGCACGGAUGUGAAUGUGAUUGGGUGUGCCUUGCAUCGGAUGAUGAAAUAAGGCGUUAUUGCCAGCAUGUUGCUGUAAUGAGAACAGGCCUCCCUGGGUAGAACUGCAUAUAGUGUUUCAUUUAAGCUGGCGUAGUCGGGUGGAACACAGGUGAAAGAGAAACACGAUGUUGAUUCACCUGACUCAACAUUACAUUUCUAAAGCGUUACUCUUAUUUCCUUUAAGGGUGCACCAAUAGGGCUAUUGUUGUGAUUUGUAUUAGAACCGCCAAUGAAAUGUCAGAUGUAAGUACCCAAUGAAUAAUUGACAACUAAAUGUACCAUUUAUGUCAUGCUCCCCU
This is a long non-coding RNA of Anguilla rostrata (American eel), 1021 nucleotides long. RefSeq lists it as uncharacterized. The transcript is spliced from 2 exons. The record is from RefSeq and is a predicted model, not a curated record. Lineage: Eukaryota; Metazoa; Chordata; Actinopteri; Anguilliformes; Anguillidae.